This 353-nucleotide RNase P RNA is filed under the name Bacillota bacterium. RNAcentral describes it as "RNase P RNA component class A". It matches the Rfam family "Bacterial RNase P class A". Rfam says of the family: Ribonuclease P (RNase P) is a ubiquitous endoribonuclease, found in archaea, bacteria and eukarya as well as chloroplasts and mitochondria. Its best characterised activity is the generation of mature 5'-ends of tRNAs by cleaving the 5'-leader elements of precursor-tRNAs. Lineage: Bacteria; Bacillati; Bacillota. The record is from RNAcentral.
UGGGUAAAACAGACAAUCGCGCGCAGCUUCGGGCUGUGUGAGGAAAGUCCGGGCUCCAUAGAGCGAGGAUGCCGGAUAACGUCCGGCGUAGGUAACUAUAGGGAAAGUGCAACAGAAACAUUCCGCCGAAACGGGUAAUGCCGUGGUAAGGUUGAAAUUGUGAGGUAAGAGCUCACAGGGAUGCAUGGUAACAUGGGUCUCGUGUAAACCCCAUCCGGAGCAAGACCAAGAUAGGGCGCUGAAGGCGGCGGCUCGUCGCUGCCCGGUAGGUAGGUCGCUAGAGCCUGGUGGCAACAUCAGGUCGAGAUAGAUGAUUGUCAAAUACAGAACCCGGCUUAUGUGUUGCCCACAAU